AAGAGUAUUAACGUUUGUAGAUUUUCUAAGCGUGUUAUGAGACUUUUGCGUUAAUUGAAGCGCAAGUGUCUUAAAAAGGAGCGACGCAUGUUGUAGUAAAAAUUUUCGAAAUCUCUAAAAAACUCGAUUACAAUAACGCAUAUUUUCCUAUGUGGGAGUAUACGAGUAUACGCACCCACUCCCCCCUUUUUAGAGAGGGGGAUAGC
Molecule: long non-coding RNA, 206 nt
Filed under: Brassica napus (rape)
Lineage: Eukaryota; Viridiplantae; Streptophyta; Magnoliopsida; Brassicales; Brassicaceae
Description: long non-coding RNA (BNAP_LNC026889)
Source: RNAcentral